AACGUACGCUGGCGGCACGCCUAACACAUGCAAGUCGAACGAAGUAGCAAUACUUAGUGGCAGACGGGUGAGUAACAUGUAGGUAUCUGCCCUUUGGCCUGGAAUAACACGAGGAAACUUGUGCUAAUACCGGAUAAGUCUUUACGGAGAAAGCUUUAUGCACCAUUGGAUGAGCCUGCACUUGAUUAGUUUGUUGGUGGGGUAAUGGCCUACCAAGACUGUGAUCAAUAGCUGAUUUGAGAGGAUGAUCAGCCACAUUGGGACUGAGACACGGCCCAAACUCCUACGGGAGGCAGCAGUGGGGAAUCUUGCACAAUGGAGGAAACUCUGAUGCAGCGAUGCCGCGUGAGUGAAGAAGGCCUUUGGGUUGUAAAGCUCUUUCGUCGGGGAAGAAAAUGACUGUACCCGAAUAAGAAGGUCCGGCUAACUUCGUGCCAGCAGCCGCGGUAAUACGAAGGGACCUAGCGUAGUUCGGAAUUACUGGGCUUAAAGAGUUCGUAGGUGGUUGAAAAAGUUAGUGGUGAAAUCCCAGAGCUUAACUCUGGAACUGCCAUUAAAACUUUUCAGCUAGAGUAUGAUAGAGGAAAGCAGAAUUUCUAGUGUAGAGGUGAAAUUCGUAGAUAUUAGAAAGAAUACCAAUUGCGAAGGCAGCUUUACUGGAUCAUUACUGACACUGA
Molecule: ribosomal RNA, 677 nt
Filed under: alpha proteobacterium IMCC14353
Lineage: Bacteria; Pseudomonadati; Pseudomonadota; Alphaproteobacteria
Description: bacterial SSU rRNA
Rfam family: Bacterial small subunit ribosomal RNA
Source: RNAcentral